RNAcentral lists this ribosomal RNA (1385 nucleotides) under uncultured bacterium. RNAcentral describes it as "16S ribosomal RNA". It matches the Rfam family "Bacterial small subunit ribosomal RNA". The record is from RNAcentral.
AGAGUUUGAUCCUGGCUCAGGAUGAACGCUGGCGGCAUGCCUAAUACAUGCAAGUCGAACGAGGGUCCUUCGGGACUCGAGUGGCGAACGGGUGAGUAACACGUAGGGAACCUGCCCGUGCGACCGGGAGAACUUUCGGAAACGGAAGCUGAUACCGGAUAGGGACAGAGACGGCAUCGACUCUGUGUUAAAGGAGCUGAAAGGCUCCGCGCACGGAUGGACCUGCGGUGCAUUAGCUGGUUGGUGAGGUAACGGCCCACCAAGGCGACGAUGCAUAGCCGGCCUGAGAGGGCGGACGGCCACACUGGGACUGAGACACGGCCCAGACUCCUACGGGAGGCAGCAGUAGGGAAUUUUCGUCAAUGGGCGCAAGCCUGAACGAGCAAUGCCGCGUGAACGAGGAAGGUCUUCGGAUCGUAAAGUUCUGUUGAAGGGGAAAAAGAGCGGAGAGAGGAAAUGGUCUCCGAUUGAUAUUACCCUUCGAGGAAGUCACGGCUAACUACGUGCCAGCAGCCGCGGUAAUACGUAGGUGGCGAGCGUUAUCCGGAAUGAUUGGGCGUAAAGGGUGCGUAGGCGGCCUGCUAAGUCUGGAGUGAAAGGUACCGGCUCAACCGGUACAGGCUCUGGAAACUGGCGGGCUAGAGAGCAGGAGAGGGCGGUGGAACUCCAUGUGUAGCGGUAAAAUGCGUAGAUAUAUGGAAGAACACCAGUGGCGAAGGCGGCCGCCUGGCCUGUUACUGACGCUGAGGCACGAAAGCGUGGGGAGCAAAUAGGAUUAGAUACCCUAGUAGUCCACGCCGUAAACGAUGAGGACCAAGUGUUGGGGAAGACCCAGUGCUGCAGUUAACGCAGUGAGUCCUCCGCCUGGGGAGUAUGCACGCAAGUGUGAAACUCAAAGGAAUUGACGGGGGCCCGCACAAGCGGUGGAGUACGUGGUUUAAUUCGAAGCAGCGCGAAGAACCUUACCAGGCCUUGACAUAGGGUGCGAAGCUAUGGAGACAUAGUGGAGGUAAACAUCCAUACAGGUGGUGCAUGGUUGUCGUCAGCUCGUGUCGUGAGAUGUUCAGUUAAGUCUGGCAACGAGCGCAACCCUCGUGAUGUGUUACCAAUAUCGAGUUAGGGACUCACAUCAGACUGCCGGUGAGAAACCGGAGGAAGGCGGGGAUGACGUCAAAUCAUCAUGCCCCUUAUGGCCUGGGCUACACACGUACUACAAUGGCGGCGACAGAGGGCAGCGAGCCUGCGAAGGCAAGCGAAUCCCCAAAAAGCCGUCCCAGUUCGGAUUGGAGUCUGCAACCCGACUCCAUGAAGUUGGAAUCGCUAGUAAUCGCGGAUCAGCAUGCCGCGGUGAAUACGUUCUCGGGCCUUGCACACACCGCCCGUCA